CAGUCGAGCGGACGGAUGGGAGCUUGCUCCCUGAAGUCAGCGGCGGACGGGUGAGUAACACGUGGGCAACCUGCCUGUAAGACUGGGAUAACUUCGGGAAACCGGAGCUAAUACCGGAUAAUGCAUAACCUCUCAUGAGGCUAUGCUGAAAGAUGGUUUCGGCUAUCACUUACAGAUGGGCCCGCGGCGCAUUAGCUAGUUGGUGAGGUAACGGCUCACCAAGGCAACGAUGCGUAGCCGACCUGAGAGGGUGAUCGGCCACACUGGGACUGAGACACGGCCCAGACUCCUACGGGAGGCAGCAGUAGGGAAUCUUCCGCAAUGGACGAAAGUCUGACGGAGCAACGCCGCGUGAGUGAUGAAGGUUUUCGGAUCGUAAAACUCUGUUGUCAGGGAAGAACAAGUGCCGGAGUAACUGCCGGCACCUUGACGGUACCUGACCAGAAAGCCACGGCUAACUACGUGCCAGCAGCCGCGGUAAUACGUAGGUGGCAAGCGUUGUCCGGAAUUAUUGGGCGUAAAGCGCGCGCAGGCGGUCUCUUAAGUCUGAUGUGAAAGCCCACGGCUCAACCGUGGAGGGUCAUUGGAAACUGGGGGACUUGAGUGCAGAAGAGGAAAGUGGAAUUCCACGUGUAGCGGUGAAAUGCGUAGAGAUGUGGAGGAACACCAGUGGCGAAGGCGACUUUCUGGUCUGUAACUGACGCUGAGGCGCGAA
RNAcentral lists this ribosomal RNA (715 nucleotides) under Bacillus infantis. RNAcentral's name for it is "bacterial SSU rRNA". It matches the Rfam family "Bacterial small subunit ribosomal RNA", at positions 59 to 757 of the family's 1533-position model. The record is from RNAcentral. Lineage: Bacteria; Bacillati; Bacillota; Bacilli; Caryophanales; Bacillaceae.